CCUACGGGCGGCAGCAGUGGGGAAUAUUGGACAAUGGGGGGAACCCUGAUCCAGCCAUGCCGCGUGUGUGAAGAAGGCCCUCGGGUUGUAAAGCACUUUCAGUGAGGAAGAACGCCUGGUGGUUAAUACCCAUCAGGAAAGACAUCACUCACAGAAGAAGCACCGGCUAACUCCGUGCCAGCAGCCGCGGUAAUACGGAGGGUGCGAGCGUUAAUCGGAAUUACUGGGCGUAAAGCGCGCGUAGGUGGCUUGAUAAGCCGGUUGUGAAAGCCCCGGGCUCAACCUGGGAACGGCAUCCGGAACUGUCAAGCUAGAGUGCAGGAGAGGAAGGUAGAAUUCCCGGUGUGGCGGUGAAAUGCGUAGAGAUCGGGAGGAAUACCAGUGGCGAAGGCGGCCUUCUGGACUGACACUGACACUGAGGUGCGAAAGCGUGGGUAGCAAACAGGAUUAGAUACCCGUGUAGUC
RNAcentral lists this ribosomal RNA (465 nucleotides) under Vreelandella stevensii. RNAcentral describes it as "partial 16S ribosomal RNA". It matches the Rfam family "Bacterial small subunit ribosomal RNA", at positions 338 to 795 of the family's 1533-position model. Lineage: Bacteria; Pseudomonadati; Pseudomonadota; Gammaproteobacteria; Oceanospirillales; Halomonadaceae. The record is from RNAcentral.